This 157-nucleotide ribosomal RNA is filed under the name uncultured Acaulospora. RNAcentral describes it as "5.8S ribosomal RNA". It matches the Rfam family "5.8S ribosomal RNA". Rfam says of the family: 5.8S ribosomal RNA (5.8S rRNA) is a component of the large subunit of the eukaryotic ribosome. It is transcribed by RNA polymerase I as part of the 45S precursor that also contains 18S and 28S rRNA. Functionally, it is thought that 5.8S rRNA may be involved in ribosome translocation. The record is from RNAcentral. Lineage: Eukaryota; Fungi; Glomeromycota; Glomeromycetes; Diversisporales; Acaulosporaceae.
CAACUUUCAACAACGGAUCUCUUGGCUCUUGCAUCGAUGAAGAACGCAGCGAAAUGCGAUAAGUAAUGUGAAUUGCAGAAUUCCGUGAAUCAUCAAAUCUUUGAACGCAAAUUGCACUCUUUGGUAUCCCGAAGAGUAUGCUUGUUUGAGGGUUGUU